Molecule: unclassified non-coding RNA, 377 nt
Filed under: uncultured Simkaniaceae bacterium
Lineage: Bacteria; Pseudomonadati; Chlamydiota; Chlamydiia; Parachlamydiales; Simkaniaceae
Description: contains 16S-23S intergenic spacer region
Source: RNAcentral
UCCGGCUUAACGCCGGCAGUCUCACUAGAGUACCCAACCGAAUUGCUGGCAACUAAUGAUAAGGGUUGCGCUCGUUGCGGGACUUAACCCAACACCUCACGGCACGAGCUGACGACAGCCAUGCAGCACCUAUAUAGCGGCCCUUUCGGGAGACCCUCUUUCAAGGGCUGUCCUCUACAUUUCGAGCCUGGGUAAGGUUCUGCGCGUUGCAUCGAAUUAAACCACAUGUUCCACUGCUUGUGCGGGCCCCCGUCAAUUCUUUUGAGUUUCACCCUUGCGAGCGUACUCCUCAGGCGGUAUACUUAUCGCGUUAGCUACGACACAGUCAGGGUUGAGUCCAACUACAUCAAGUAUACAUCGUUUACGGCAAGGACUAC